GAUGAACGCUGGCGGCGUGCCUAAUACAUGCAAGUCGAACGAGAUGUUUACAUCGAGUGGCGAACGGGUGAGUAAUACAUAAGUAACCUACCCUAAACUGGGGGAUAACUAUUGGAACGAUAGCUAACACCGCAUAGGUAUAGUGUACCCAUGUACAGUAUAUUAAAAUAGCUUUAUAGCAUUGGUAAAGGACGGACUUAUGGCGCAUUAGCUAGUUGGUAGGGUAAAGGCCUACCAAGGCGACGAUGCGUAGCCGACCUGAGAGGGUGACCGGCCACACUGGGGACUGAGACACGGCCCACGACUCCUACGGGAGGGCAGCAGUAGGGGAAUUUUCGGCAAUGGGGGGAAACCCUGACCGACGCAACGCCGCGUGAAGGAAGAAGGUCUUCGGAUUGUAAACUUCUGUUAUAAAGGAAGAACGAGAUAGGCAGGAAAUGGUCUAUCAGUGACGGUACUUUUAUGAGGAAGCCACGGCUAACUACGUGCCAGC
This 493-nucleotide ribosomal RNA is filed under the name uncultured bacterium. RNAcentral's name for it is "bacterial SSU rRNA". It matches the Rfam family "Bacterial small subunit ribosomal RNA", at positions 28 to 512 of the family's 1533-position model. The record is from RNAcentral.